Molecule: transfer RNA, 77 nt
Filed under: Candidatus Moranbacteria bacterium RIFOXYA12_FULL_35_19
Lineage: Bacteria; Candidatus Moraniibacteriota
Also listed under: 1 other name
Description: tRNA-Ile
Rfam family: tRNA
About the family: Transfer RNA (tRNA) molecules are approximately 80 nucleotides in length. Their secondary structure includes four short double-helical elements and three loops (D, anti-codon, and T loops).
Source: RNAcentral
GGGCGAUUAGCUCAGUUGGUUAGAGCGCGUCACUGAUAAUGACGAGGUCUCAAGUUCGAAUCUUGAAUCGCCCACAA